Non-coding RNA from Paramuricea clavata, 233 nucleotides. The record is from the annotation of a GenBank genome assembly. Lineage: Eukaryota; Metazoa; Cnidaria; Anthozoa; Malacalcyonacea; Plexauridae.
UGGGAAACGGAGCAACAUUCUGGAGACGACAAUAGAUAGCUUAAGAUCUCUGACAGCUAGGACGUCAGGGUUAAGCAGAGGACUGGGACUAGGAUGUCGUCUUAAAUAAGUAAAUAGAUAGCUUAAGAUCUACGACGUCGACGUCAGCUAGGACGUCAGGGCUCAAUCUCGUUCCCCGAGGCUGCGAUCCUCGGGAAGGAACGCGAGGCUCUGGGAUAAUCCGUUUCAGGGAG